Oncorhynchus tshawytscha (Chinook salmon) is the source of this 750-nucleotide long non-coding RNA. The record is from Ensembl. Lineage: Eukaryota; Metazoa; Chordata; Actinopteri; Salmoniformes; Salmonidae.
GUGUGUAGUGUAUAAUGUAGUGUAGUGUGUAGUGUAGUGUGUAGUUGUAGUGUGUAGUGUAUAAUGUAGUGUUAUGUUGUGUAGUGUAGUGUGUAGUGUACUGUAGUGUACUGUAGUGUUAUGUAGUGUAUAAUGUAGUGUUGUGUAGUGUGUAGUGUACUGUAGUGUAGUGUUAUGUAGUGUAUAAUGUAGUGUUGUGUGUAGUGUGUAGUCAUGUUAUGUAGUGUUAUAUGUAAUUAUAUGUAGUGUAGUGUAGUGUUAUGUAGUGUAUAAUGUAGUGUAGUGUAGUGUGUAGUGUUAUGUAGUGUGUAUAAUGUAGUGUAGUGUGUAGUGUAUAAUGUAGUGUAGUGUUAUGUAGUGUAUAAUGUAGUGUUAUGUAGUGUGUAGUGUAUAAUGUAGUGUAGUGUGUAGUGUAGUGUUAUGUAGUGUAUAAUGUAGUGUAGUGUGUAGUGUUAUGUAGUGUGUAUAAUGUAGUGUAGUGUGUAGUGUAUAAUGUAGUGUAGUGUUAUGUAGUGUAUAAUGUAGUGUUAUGUAGUGUGUAGUGUAUAAUGUAGUGUAGUGUGUAGUGUAGUGUUAUGUAGUGUAGUGUGUAGUGUAGUUGUGUAGUGUAUAAUGUAGUGUAGUGUGUAGUGUAGUGUUAUGUAGUGUAGUGUGUAGUGUAUAAUGUAGUGUAGUGUGUAGUGUAGUGUUAUGUUGUGUAGUGUGUAGUGUAUAAUGUAGUGUAGUGUUAUGUAGUGUAGUGUAUAAUGU